CGUCGGUUAAUACCUAAUAACCGACGCCAUAGGGUUAUAUAUCAAACCCUUUCUGCUUCGUCUUCCUCACUUCCUCAUUUCACAACUUGUUGAACACGAAGAACAGCCACCCACAGCAGCCCCAAACCCACGAAAAAACCCUCGCCAACCACCACUAAAAUAACCUCAUUCUCCCUCAUUUCUUAACCAUUUUACCCCAUUUUUGUCUUAAAAUCUUCUAUUUUCUAUACCUAAACCUAUACUGUUAAAAAGUUUAGUUUUUUUCCCCUCUAUAUACCAAACCGAACCUAUUAUAAAGAAAGGUGGUGGGUAUAACUCCGGCCACCGAUUUUAGCGGAGAAAACGUUGAGUCUCAACGUCCAUUAAGGUAUAAAUAUGCUUUCUAUUCAUUUUAUUUAUGUACAUUGGUAUUAUUUCGUUUUUGUAAAUUUUUUUAGAAUUUUUUUAUUUUAUUAAUAUUAUAUUGUGUGUGUUCUAGAGGUGGUCGGAUUUUUGUAGCAUUUUAUCGCCGGAUUGCGUUUAUAAGGUUGUGUGCUAAUAUUUGAGGGUCGACAUAUUUCGGUGUUGAUCGGAUUUGCAAUAGGAUUUUAUCGGAAGUGACUUUAUCGGAAGUCAAGUACAUAAUUUUUGGUAUAAGGUAUGUUUUCUUUAACUUACUUUUAUAAGAAUAUUUUUUAUAUAUAUUUAGAUAAUCCUUAAAUACUAAGAGUAAUUUUCGAAUAAUAUUAAUACAAACCCAUAUUAUAAAAUUUAAAUGUAUAAAAAUAUUAAAUUACAUAAAAAUUAAAAUAUUACACAUUAUUUUAUUAUUCAAUAAACUAAUUAUUAUACAAAACAUAACUUAAAAAAUUAUAAAAAUAAUA
Cannabis sativa is the source of this 863-nucleotide long non-coding RNA. RefSeq lists it as uncharacterized. The record is from RefSeq and is a predicted model, not a curated record. Lineage: Eukaryota; Viridiplantae; Streptophyta; Magnoliopsida; Rosales; Cannabaceae. The transcript has 3 exons.